RNAcentral lists this ribosomal RNA (375 nucleotides) under uncultured organism. RNAcentral's name for it is "partial 16S ribosomal RNA". It matches the Rfam family "Bacterial small subunit ribosomal RNA", at positions 527 to 896 of the family's 1533-position model. The record is from RNAcentral.
GUAGGUGGCAAGCGUUGUCCGGGAAUUAUUGGGGCGUAAAGCGCGCGCAGGCGGUUCUUUAAGUCUGAUGUGAAAGCCCACGGGCUCAACCGUGGAGGGUCAUUGGAAACUGGAGAACUUGAGUACAGAAGAGGAAAGCGGAAUUCCACGUGUAGCGGUGAAAUGCGUAGAGAUGUGGAGGAACACCAGUGGCGAAGGCGGCUUACUGGUCUGUAACUGACGCUGAGGCGCGAAAGCGUGGGGAGCAAACAGGAUUAGAUACCCUGGUAGUCCACGCCGUAAACGAUGAGUGCUAAGUGUUAGGGGGUUUCCGCCCCUUAGUGCUGCAGCUAACGCAUUAAGCACUCCGCCUGGGGAGUACGGCCGCAAAGGCUG